This 301-nucleotide ribosomal RNA is filed under the name uncultured bacterium. Its description in RNAcentral is "partial 16S ribosomal RNA". It matches the Rfam family "Bacterial small subunit ribosomal RNA", at positions 509 to 809 of the family's 1533-position model. The record is from RNAcentral.
CAGCAGCCGCGGGAAAACGUAGGUGGCAAGCGUUGUCCGGAAUUAUCGGGCGUAAAGCGCGCGCAGGCGGAUAGGUCAGUCUGUCUUAAAAGUUCGGGGCUUAACCCCGUGAUGGGAUGGAAACUGCCAAUCUAGAGUAUCGGAGAGGAAAGUGGAAUUCCUAGUGUGGCGGUGAAAUGCGUAGAUAUUAGGAAGAACACCAGUGGCGAAGGCGACUUCCUGGACGAAAACUGACGCUGAGGCGCGAAAGCCAGGGGAGCGAACGGGAUUAGAUACCCGCGUAGUCCCUGUCUCUUAUACA